GCGGAUUAGUGGCGAACGGGUGAGUAACACGUGGGUGAUCUGCCCUGCACUUCGGGAUAAGCCUGGGAAACUGGGUCUAAUACCGGAUAUGACCACAGGAUGCAUGUUUUGUGGUGGAAAGGUUUACUGGUGCAGGAUGAGCCCGCGGCCUAUCAGCUUGUUGGUGGGGUAAUGGCCUACCAAGGCGACGACGGGUAGCCGGCCUGAGAGGGCGACCGGCCACACUGGGACUGAGACACGGCCCAGACUCCUACGGGAGGCAGCAGUGGGGAAUAUUGCACAAUGGGCGAAAGCCUGAUGCAGCGACGCCGCGUGAGGGAUGACGGCCUUCGGGUUGUAAACCUCUUUCAGCAGGGACGAAGCGCAAGUGACUGUACCUGCAGAAGAAGCACCGGCUAACUACGUGCCAGCAGCCGCGGUAAUACGUAGGGUGCGAGCGUUGUCCGGAAUUACUGGGCGUAAAGAGUUCGUAGGCGGUUUGUCGCGUCGUGUGUGAAAUCCCGCAGCUCAACUGCGGGCUUGCAGGCGAUACGGGCAGACUUGAGUACUGCAGGGGAGACUGGAAUUCCUGGUGUAGCGGUG
Molecule: ribosomal RNA, 582 nt
Filed under: Rhodococcus sp. CY17
Lineage: Bacteria; Bacillati; Actinomycetota; Actinomycetes; Mycobacteriales; Nocardiaceae
Description: bacterial SSU rRNA
Rfam family: Bacterial small subunit ribosomal RNA
Source: RNAcentral